RNAcentral lists this long non-coding RNA (496 nucleotides) under Marmota monax (woodchuck). Lineage: Eukaryota; Metazoa; Chordata; Mammalia; Rodentia; Sciuridae. The record is from RNAcentral.
GUCUUAGCAUGAUCUGGUCUGAAGGUAGAGAAAGGAUGCGAAUCCUCGGGGCGCUUCAAGCCCCUUGUUUUCAUGCCCAGUUCCUUGAUGGUAGCCCUGCGCAGCGCGACUUCUCUGAAGCCUAUGUAUAUAUUUUGGUUUUUAUCUCGGGUUUUGUUAAAGUAUUUAGAUUUUUGUUCUUGAACCUGAAGCAGCUCCAGAACAACUUUGAGAGAUAAGGAAGAAAGCCAUCUUUUAUGAUUUACUAAAUAUAGCAGGAAGUAUACAAAAUGAGCCUUGAGCAUCUUGUAGUAUGGAAUGUAAUGAAGUGCUAAAAAAACAAAAGUCUCACAUUAAUGGGUGUAUGUAGAAGGUGCACAAGAGGCAAUUGAAAGAGCUCCCAAAGGCCAAAGCUGGAAUAAUCUAAUCAAUAACGUAGGUAGCACUGGAUUACAACCCAAAGUUCAAAAUAAAUAUCCAUGAUUUCAUAGUGAUAUAAAUAAGCAAUUGAAUAAAU